Non-coding RNA from Marmota flaviventris (yellow-bellied marmot), 284 nucleotides. Lineage: Eukaryota; Metazoa; Chordata; Mammalia; Rodentia; Sciuridae. The record is from RefSeq and is a predicted model, not a curated record.
GCGGAGGGGGGCCGCGGCUCAUGCGCCGUGCACCGAGGCUUGUUUCACAUCUGUAACAACAGAGUUAGUAAAUGAAUUUCUAUGAUUGGAGCACCUUUGUUUCCCUGUGGGGGCCGUCACUCUAGUGACCCAGCAUCAUACUUCCCAGGAGGAGGCCCAGCCUCGGGAUGAGGAGUAGCAAGGAGAGAAUUCAGCUCCAUUUCAAAAGCCUACAAAAUCUGAGCCCAUUAUUGCUUUUAUAAGGGUCUCACGAAGUUGCCCAGGCUGGCCUCGAACUUAAGAUC